CAAAAUUUCCAGACAUGGGUGUCCUUGGAUGCAACCAAUGAUGGGAUAGCUCGAUUUGGCAACCAAAAAACUUCCUAAUGCAAUUCUAGCAAAAGUCCAUUUCUGGAUAGAAACUAAAUGUUGAUGCAAAAGGGUCUUAAACAAGUUAUAUGGGGCUGAAAUCUAGUACUUAAGAGUUUUGCAGGAUCUACUACAAAGCAAAAAAAAUUCAAAGGAAUUGGAAAAGAAAA
Molecule: long non-coding RNA, 230 nt
Filed under: Hordeum vulgare
Lineage: Eukaryota; Viridiplantae; Streptophyta; Magnoliopsida; Poales; Poaceae
Description: long non-coding RNA (HVUL_LNC007245)
Source: RNAcentral